UACGUAGGGUGCGAGCGUUAAUCGGAAUUACUGGGCGUAAAGCGUGCGCAGGCGGUUUUGUAAGCCAGAUGUGAAAUCCCCGGGCUUAACCUGGGAAUGGCAUUUGGGACUGCAAGGCUCGAGUGCGGCAGAGGAGACUGGAAUUCCUGGUGUAGCAGUGAAAUGCGUAGAUAUCAGGAGGAACACCGAUGGCGAAGGCAGGUCUCUGGGCUGACACUGACGCUCAUGCACGAAAGCGUGGGAGCAAACAGG
Molecule: ribosomal RNA, 252 nt
Filed under: uncultured bacterium
Lineage: Bacteria
Description: partial 16S ribosomal RNA
Rfam family: Bacterial small subunit ribosomal RNA
Source: RNAcentral